GUGUUAACUUGAAGAAAGGAAUGGAGAAGCUAAAGGUGUUAAGUUGAGAUGGAGCUUGUGCAAAGAUAGGGCAAGAACUUUAGAGAGUGCCUAUCAAGAGUGGUGAAGUGUCUUAAGAGAGCUAGAGGUGAUCUGAUGGUUGUUCUAAGCAAGGACAAAGUCUAGGAGAGACUUAGAAGAGUAUUGAGGAGCAAAUGGACGAGUGUACAAAGAUAGGGCGAGGCUGGUACAGCCAUGUACGGCCUAGUAUGAAUCAGUACGGAUGGUGGACGUACCAAAGGUGUAUACUCGGCCAUUUGUGAGUCUUAAGGUUUGGUGCAAACUUAGGGUGCUUGUGUACGGACAUUGAGUGAUCCGUACAUACUCUAAGGAUUGUGAUCAGCAUAACUUGAGUCCCAAGUAAGAAGAAUGGCGUUGGCUGAUUGUGUGAAGAAGCCAAGAGGCGCCAAAGUAAGAGUUUGAAUGUUGGGACCAGUUAUGGAUAAGGCACAGCAAGAACCAGCUGGCGUGAGCUGUCCCUUGGCUGUGUAUUGACCAAGAACCUGGACACAAGGGAGACUAGGUUCAUGGGCGCCUAAGAUGAUCCAAUCAGAGGCCAGCCCUCCCUUUGACCAGAUUCAAAUCAACCAAUCAAGCAACAUCAGCCCUCAGCCAAUCACAAGACAUCACACAGAUUGCAAUACCAAGCUUACAUCCUAGCCAUCCAUUCUCUCAAGUUAAUAUUAUCCAUUAGAUUUAGGUUUCAGAUUGUGUAAACCUAUUGAGCUUAUAAAUAAGCAUGUAAGGGGCGAUUUUGAGCCUUAAGGGAGUUUGGGGGAUUUCCCCUCUCCACUUCAUAAUAAAAGUGUGUUCUUGAUCAGAUUCCCUUAAUCUACCCCUUUCUUAGUCUCAAGUCUCUUAAUCUCUCAAAGUCUCCUUGUUUCUGAUUCAAGUUCAUACUAGUUUCAUCAGACCUCUUAUACAACUAGUUCAAGACCUUAUCUUUGCCUUUAAUGGCUUUUCAUACACAUACACAGCCAGAGCUCUCAAAAACUCACAUGGUAUCAGAGCCAGGUUGCUAAGAAUCUGGUUGAAGCUUCCGCAAAUCCCACACACACAUCCCUCAGCUCAAAUCCAAGCCAUGAAGAAGACAGCUCCAUCCGGUUCAGCUUCUCCAUGAAGACUGAAGCUUGGCGUGUCAUUCUGGUUCCUCAACCCUUUCUCAUACCUGCCUAGAUGAAGAGCCACGUUGGAAGCAAAGGAGGAUGGAGAGGCGUCAUGAACCUCAAGCCAAAACUCCUUGUCCAUGAGCUGCUAGCAUCCGGCUACAAGAAGAGAAGAUGUCAUGAAGAUGGCGACUUGAUGUAUGAAGAAAGGAGGGGUGUUUGAGCUGUAGAAACAAGAAGGGGGCCAUGAGUAGAAGGAGGAGAGGCUGGGUGACGAUCCAUACUCUCAUGUCCAACAAAACCGUGAGCCAAAAGCCAUUGGAGGUUCAAGGAACCAAACCGGUUCCUUGGCUGUAAGCUAAUACUAUCCCUUCUUGAUAAUGAGCUUGUGUUGUGACUGUGCCUGGUUAUUGUGAUGUGUAUUGAUUAAAAAACCUGAGGAUAAUGUGUGAUUGCUAAAUAAAAUUAGUUGAAUCUGUCCCAGGAUGCUUUAAAGGCUUGUUUAGUGUUUAAAGAGUAAAAUGCUUGCUCCUGUUAAGUAAUGAGUUUGCUAAAUGAAAUGGUAUUGUUUGAAGCUCAUGAACUGAAAACAGAUUGAAAGUAAUGCAUUGUCUGAUGAUAAGUGAUGAUAGUAAUGCUUAGCCUAAGUUAUAAAUGAAUGUGUGAUGGAUUGUAUUGUUGCAUUCAUGAAUUGAAACUGAUUAAAGGUUAGUGCAUACUGUCAAAAGGCUGUCUUACAUUGAAGCAUUAGAUUCAUGUCUAAAUGCUGAGUAAAGAAGCUUUAAAAAUUGCCUAAGUAGCUUGUAUUGAAUCUGUUAUGAUCUUACUUGUGCUUAGAGAGUUUGCUUGCAAAGAUUAGAACUUGAAAAUGUCUAGUUUAAUCUGUUGCAUUGCUUAAAGACAUUGGUGUUCAAACUUGAUGAUGCAUCAAGGGUUGACCCAAUGCACUUGUGUCUUAUCUUUGCUGGAGUUUGAGUGAUGUUUCAGGUUCACAAGAGGUGUUCUUGGUUCACCAUCCAUCCGAGUUGAAAGAGGAAGACUUUGCCCAUUGUGUGGAGCAAUGGAGAGUUAAGAAAGAAGUGGUGAUGCGCCACUGGUGUGUAGUGUCACUGAAGCUCACUUGCAAGCUUGGACCUAUACUCAAUCCAAGCUUGAGGAGGGGAGUUUAGUGAGCUAUCAGUCGGACCAAGAAGGUUCAGAAGGUCCAUUGCAAGCAACUGAAGAAGAAGGAGCCAUCCGGGUCUAGGCAGUGGCGUGUCUAGGCAAGAGAGUGUUCAGAGCACUCUUGGCUGUGAGAAGAUGAAGACUCUAUCAGUGCAGCUUCUAGUGUGAGGUGGCUGAAGAGGUAGCUGAAGUUUCCACAAGCACUCCAUGAAGAUGGCGAGUUCAGAAGGUGUUGCAAUGGUGUGAUUGGGCGGAUCAAGAAGCUAUCCUUCCAAGCUUGACUUGUUCCACAUGGCCAAGCUUGAGGGGGAGUGUUGAGAAAGCUUCUAUGAUCCUAGAGUCUUUGGUGGUUAUUCAAGAAGAGGAGCAGAUCAGUUAUGAAGCAUAAUGAAGGAUGAAGAAGCAAUCACCAAUGCGGCCUCUAGAGUGAGGUGAUUGGUACUACAGUCUGAAGCAUCCUGUCAUGAAGGUUUCAGUAACAUGGUGGUGACUCAUGAAGAAGAAGCAGCCAAGACUCAGCUUGUAUCUAUCAAGGAAGAUCUGGUAGUCCGAGCACUUGAUCACAACAAGAAGGUUGUGAGAAAGGGGGAGAGACCAAGAUCUGUCUAAAGAAGAGUACAAGAAGUGUUGAUGAUGAGCAAGAGGAGUGGGUUCUAUCUUGCAUCACAUGAGGGCCAUGAUCCAGAGUCUUUGUGUCCCUUACAUUGUUGGUAAGGCACAAAGACUCACUGGCCAAUCCCUAGGCCUUGGAGACUUUACUCUUUUUCCCUCAUCAAGGUUUUGUCCCAAAGGGUUUUCCUUGGUGAGGUUUUUAAUGAGGAAGCUCUUCAAGGUUCCAAGCUUGACUUAGGAUCUACUAAAGUCAAGCUUGAGGGGGAGUUUUGAACUGAAGAGAAGAAUGGAGCUUGUGCAUAAAUAGGGCAAGCUUCAGGUGAUCUCCGGAAGAGUUCUACAAAGCUUCAGGAGAGUCUUGAAGUAUCUAUCAUGGGUGAAGUUAAGUCCAAGAAGGGCUUAGACUGAUCUUAAGAAGACAUGGAAGGAGUUUGGAGGUGAAUGGUUGAGUGUGCAAACUUAGGGCGAGGCCGUACGGAUUUGGUACGGACGUGUACGGACAGUACGGAUCCGUACGGACCUUUCCGACCCAAAAGUUCAUGACUCGACCAUUUGAGCACAUUUGAAGUUGGUGCAAAAAUAGGGCAUAGGUCAGCUCUUAAGAGAAGAAGACAAAACUCUUAAGAGAAGAAGACAAAGGAGAGGCUGGCACUUGUGACUGUUUGUGGAUAAGGGAGUGGUGCCUGAACGUGAGUGGCUGUUAUGAGUCCAAGGACAGGCUGUAAAGAUCUGUAAAGGAAGAGCAAGGCUUGACCAUGUAUCUGGCCAAAGAAGAGGGCGGAUACAUGAGGCUGUGUAGAGCAUUCCUAGCCAAGCCUUCCCACAUCCAAUCAGGCGACACCAACAAGCUGCAAAGACCACAAGACUGAAUCAAGGUCGUCCAAUUCAAAUCAGAACAUCUCCACCCUUCAUGUCUUAUCUAUCUUAGGGUUUAUGAGUUUGCAAAGUGUAAAGAGUAUAUAUAAACUCUUAGGUGACGUUUUGUAAGCUCUUAAGAGAGUAUGGGGGUUUUCCCCAUCUCCUUCAUAAUUAUAAAAGUGUGUUCUUGAUCAGAUUCCCUUAAUCUACCCCUUUCUUAGUCCCUAAUCUCUUAAUCUCUCAAAGUCUCUUUGUUUCUUAUUCAAGUUCAUACUAGUUUCAUCAGACCUCUUAUUCAACUAGUUCAAGACCUAAAGUCUCUUUGUUUCUGAUUCAAGUUCAUACUAGUUUCAUCAGACCUCUUAUUCAACUAGUUCAAGACCUUAUCUUUGCUUUUAAUGGCUUUUCAUACACAUACACAGCCAGAGCUCUCAAAUCUCACAUGGUAUCAGAGCCAGGUUCAUCAGAACCUGGUUGAAGCUUCCGCACAUCCCACACACAUCCCUCAGCUCAAAUCCAAGCCAUGAAGAAGACAGCUCCAUCCGGUUCAGCUUCUCCAUGAAGACUGAAGCUUGGCGUGUCAUUCUGGUUCCUCAACCCUUUCUCAUACCUGCCUUGAUGAAGAGCCACGUUGGAAGCAAAGGAGGAUGGAGAGGCGUCAUGAACCUCAAGCCAAAACUCCUAGUCCAUGAGCUGCUAGCAUCCGGCUACAAGAAGAGAAGAUGUCAUGAAGAUGGCGACUUGAAGUAUGAAGAAAGGAGGGGUGUUUGAGCUGUAGAAACAAGAAGGUGGCCAUGAGUAGAAGGAGGAGAGGCUGGGUGACGAUCCAUGCUCUCAUGUCCAACAAAACCGUGAGCCAUAAGCCAUUGGAGGUUCAAGGAACCAAACCGGUUCCUUGGCUGUAAGCUAUUACUAUCCCUUCUUGAUAAUGUGUGUGUUGUUGACUGGUUAUUGUGAUGUGUAUUGAUUGAAAAACCUGAGGAUAAUGUGUGAUUGCUAAAUAUAAUUAGUUGAAUCUGUCCCAGGAUGCUUUAAAGGCUUGUUUAGUGUUUAAAGAGUAAAAUGCUUGCUCCUGUUAAGUAAUGAGUUUGCUAAAUGUGAAAUGGUAUUGUUUGAAGCUCAUGAACUGAAAACAGAUUGAAAGUAAUGCAUUGUCUGAUGAUAAGUGAUGAUAGUAAUGCUUAGCCUAAGUUAUAAAUGAAUGUGUGAUGGAUUAUAUUGUUGCAUUCAUGAAUUAAAACUGAUUAAGGUUAGUGCAUACUGUCAAAUGGCUGUCUUACAUUGAAGCAUUAGAUUCAUGUCUAAAUGCUGAGUAAAGAAGCUUUAAAAAUUGCCUAAGUAGCUUGUAUUGAAUCUGUUAUGAUCUUACUUGUGCUUAGAGAGUUUGCUUGCAAAGAUUAGAACUUGAAAAUGUCUAGUUUAAUCUGUUGCAUUGCUUAAAGACAUUGGUGUUCAAACUUGAUGAUGCAUCAAGGGUUGACCCAAUGCACUUGUGUCUUAUCUUUGCUGGAGUUUGAGUGAUGUUUCAGGUACACUAGAUGUGUUCUUAGUUCAUCAUCAAUCCGAUUUGAAAGUAGGAGACGUUUGCCCAUUGUGUGUGCAAUGGAGAGUUGAUACAAGAGUGGUGAUGCGCCACUAGGUGUGUAGUCUCACUGAAGCUCACUUGCAAGCUUGGACCUAUACUCAAUCCAAGCUUGAGGAGGGGAGUUUAGUGAGCUAUCAGUCGGACCAAGAAGGUUCAGAAGGUCCAUUGCAAGCAACUGAAGAAGAAGGAGCCAUCCGGGUCUAGGCAGUGGCGUGUCUAGGCAAGAGAGUGUUCAGAGCACUCUUGGCUGUGAGAAGAUGAAGACUCUAUCAGUGCAGCUUCUAGUGUGAGGUGGCUGAAGAGGUAGCUGAAGUUUCCACAAGCACUCCAUGAAGAUGGCGAGUUCAGAAGGUGUUGCAAUGGUGUGAUUGGGCGGAUCAAGAAGCUAUCCUUCCAAGCUUGACUUGUUCCACAUGGCCAAGCUUGAGGGGGAGUGUUGAGAAAGCUUCUAUGAUCCUAGAGUCUUUGGUGGUUAUUCAAGAAGAGGAGCAGAUCAGUUAUGAAGCAUAAUGAAGGAUGAAGAAGCAAUCACCAAUGCGGCCUCUAGAGUGAGGUGAUUGGUACUACAGUCUGAAGCAUCCUGUCAUGAAGGUUUCAGUAACAUGGUGGUGACUCAUGAAGAAGAAGCAGCCAAGACUCAGCUUGUAUCUAUCAAGGAAGAUCUGGUAGUCCGAGCACUUGAUCACAACAAGAAGGUUGUGAGAAAGGGGGAGAGACCAAGAUCUGUCUAAAGAAGAGUACAAGAAGUGUUGAUGAUGAGCAAGAGGAGUGGGUUCUAUCUUGCAUCACAUGAGGGCCAUGAUCCAGAGUCUUUGUGUCCCUUACAUUGUUGGUAAGGCACAAAGACUCACUGGCCAAUUCCCUAGGCCUUGGAGACUUUACUCUUUUUCCCUCAUCAAGGUUUUGUCCCAAAGGGUUUUCCUUGGUGAGGUUUUUAAUGAGGAAGUUCUUCAAGGUUCCAAGCUUGACUUAGGAUCAGCUAAAGUCAAGCUUGAGGGGGAGUGUUAACUUGAAGAAAGGAAUGGAGAAGCUAAAGGUGUUAAGUUGAGAUGGAGCUUGUGCAAAGAUAGGGCAAGAGCUUUAGAGAGUGCCUAUCAAGAGUGGUGAAGUGUCUUAAGAGAGCUAGAGGUAAGUCUAGGAGAGACUUAGAAGAGUAUUGAGGAGCAAAUGGACGAGUGUACAAAGAUAGGGAGAGGCUGGUACAGCCAUGUACGGCCUAGUAUGAAUCAGUACGGAUGGUGGACGUACCAAAGGUGUAUACUCGGCCAUUUGUGAGUCUUAAGGUUUGGUGCAAACUUAGGGUGCUUGUGUACGGACAUUGAGUGAUCCGUACAUAACUAAGGAUUGUGAUCAGCCUAACUUGAAUCCCAAGUAAGAAGAAUGGCGUUGGCUGAUUGUGUGAAGAAGCCAAGAGGCGCCAAAGUCUGAGUUUGAAUGUUGGGACCAGUUAUGGAUAAGGCACAGCAAGAACCAGCUGGCAUGAGCUGUCCCUUGGCUGUGUAUUGACCAAGAACCUGGACACAAGGGAGACUAGGUUCAUGGGCGCCUAAGAUGAUCCAAUCAGAGGCCAGCCCUCCCUUUGACCAGAUUCAAAUCAACCAAUCAAGCAACAUCAGCCCUCAGCCAAUCACAAGACAUCACACAGAUUGCAAUACCAAGCUUACAUCCUAGCCAUCCAUUCUCUCAAGUUAAUAUUAUCCAUUAGAUUUAGGUUUCAGAUUGUGUAAACCUAUUGAGCUUAUAAAUAAGCAUGUAAGGGGCGAUUUUGAGCCUUAAGGGAGUUUGGGGGAUUUCCCCUCUCCACUUCAUAAUAAAAGUGUGUUCUUGAUCAGUUUCCCUUAAUCUACCCCUUUCUUAGUCUCAAGUCUCUUAAUCUCUCAAAGUCUCUUUGUUUCUGAUUCAAGUUCAUACUAGUUUCAUCAGACCUCUUAUUCAACUAGUUCAAGACCUUAUCUUUGCCUUUAAUGGCUUUUCUUACACAUACACAGCCAGAGCUCUCAAAUCUCACAUGGUAUCAG
Molecule: long non-coding RNA, 7382 nt
Filed under: Brassica napus (rape)
Lineage: Eukaryota; Viridiplantae; Streptophyta; Magnoliopsida; Brassicales; Brassicaceae
Description: long non-coding RNA (BNAP_LNC018442)
Source: RNAcentral